AUACGGAGGAUGCAAGCGUUAUCCGGAUUUAUUGGGUUUAAAGGGUGCGUAGGCGGUUUGCUAAGCGGGAGGUGAAAUGCCGGCGCUCAACGUCGGGAGUGCCUCCCGAACUGGUGGACUGGAAUGACUCUGCCGUGGGAGGAAUGUGUAGUGUAGCGGUGAAAUGCUUAGAGAUUACACAGAACACCGAUUGCGAAGGCAUCUCACGAAGGGUUGAUUGACGCUGAGGCACGAAAGCGUGGGGAUCAAACAGGAUUAGAUACCCUGGUAGUCCACGCAGUAAACGAUGAUGGCUAACCGCUGGUUUUUUCGGAUCAGUGGCCAAGCGAAAGCGAUAAGCCAUCCACCUGGGGAGUACGACCGCAAGGUUGAAACUCAAAGGAAUUGACGGGG
Molecule: ribosomal RNA, 393 nt
Filed under: uncultured bacterium
Lineage: Bacteria
Description: partial 16S ribosomal RNA
Rfam family: Bacterial small subunit ribosomal RNA
Source: RNAcentral